AUCAAAUAACAAAGAAAUGGAAGAAUCUGCACCUAUUUAAUGUCUAUAAACCCAGAACUUCAACUUUAUAUUAAAAUUCAACACAAUGAAAAUCUAAAAAAAAAUUAUGAACUCCUCAAUUCUUGAAUUACCUUCAAGAACAAACCCAGAAAACAGAAUUCUACCAUAUGCGAUUAAAACAGAAACUUCUGCAAUUUGCAUAUGCAUUACAAAA
Molecule: unclassified non-coding RNA, 214 nt
Filed under: Hevea brasiliensis (rubber tree)
Lineage: Eukaryota; Viridiplantae; Streptophyta; Magnoliopsida; Malpighiales; Euphorbiaceae
Source: RNAcentral